This 74-nucleotide transfer RNA is filed under the name Streptococcus urinalis. Its description in RNAcentral is "tRNA-Lys(ttt)". It matches the Rfam family "tRNA". From Rfam's summary of the family: Transfer RNA (tRNA) molecules are approximately 80 nucleotides in length. Their secondary structure includes four short double-helical elements and three loops (D, anti-codon, and T loops). Lineage: Bacteria; Bacillati; Bacillota; Bacilli; Lactobacillales; Streptococcaceae. The record is from RNAcentral.
AUGGUUUGAAGUGAGUGAGGGGGCACGCUGGACUUUUAAUCCAGAAGCGCGGGUUCGAAUCCCGCCGAACCAUU